RNAcentral lists this ribosomal RNA (1399 nucleotides) under uncultured Helicobacter sp. RNAcentral describes it as "16S ribosomal RNA". It matches the Rfam family "Bacterial small subunit ribosomal RNA". Lineage: Bacteria; Pseudomonadati; Campylobacterota; Epsilonproteobacteria; Campylobacterales; Helicobacteraceae. The record is from RNAcentral.
UGAACGCUGGCGGCGUGCCUAAUACAUGCAAGUCGAACGAUGAAGCUCUAGCUUGCUAGAGUGGAUUAGUGGCGCACGGGUGAGUAAUGCAUAGAUAACAUGCCCUUUAGUCUAGGAUAGCCAUUGGAAACGAUGAUUAAUACUGGAUACUCCUUACGAGGGAAAGUUUUUCGCUAAAGGAUUGGUCUAUGUCCUAUCAGCUUGUUGGUGAGGUAAUGGCUCACCAAGGCUAUGACGGGUAUCCGGCCUGAGAGGGUGAACGGACACACUGGAACUGAGACACGGUCCAGACUCCUACGGGAGGCAGCAGUAGGGAAUAUUGCUCAAUGGGGGAAACCCUGAAGCAGCAACGCCGCGUGGAGGAUGAAGGUUUUCGGAUUGUAAACUCCUUUUGUUAGAGAAGAUAAUGACGGUAUCUAACGAAUAAGCACCGGCUAACUCCGUGCCAGCAGCCGCGGUAAUACGGAGGGUGCAAGCGUUACUCGGAAUCACUGGGCGUAAAGAGCGCGUAGGCGGGAUAGCAAGUCAGAUGUGAAAUCCUAUGGCUUAACCAUAGAACUGCAUUUGAAACUGUUAUUCUAGAGUAUGGGAGAGGUAGGUGGAAUUCUUGGUGUAGGGGUAAAAUCCGUAGAGAUCAAGAGGAAUACUCAUUGCGAAGGCGACCUGCUAGAACAUAACUGACGCUGAUGCGCGAAAGCGUGGGGAGCAAACAGGAUUAGAUACCCUGGUAGUCCACGCCCUAAACGAUGAAUGCUAGUUGUUGUGGAGCUUGUCUCUGCAGUAAUGCAGCUAACGCAUUAAGCAUUCCGCCUGGGGAGUACGGUCGCAAGAUUAAAACUCAAAGGAAUAGACGGGGACCCGCACAAGCGGUGGAGCAUGUGGUUUAAUUCGAAGAUACACGAAGAACCUUACCUAGGCUUGACAUUGAUAGAAUCCGCUAGAGAUAGUGGAGUGCUAGCUUGCUAGAACUUGAAAACAGGUGCUGCACGGCUGUCGUCAGCUCGUGUCGUGAGAUGUUGGGUUAAGUCCCGCAACGAGCGCAACCCUCGUCCUUAGUUGCUAACUAUUCGGUAGAGCACUCUAAGGAGACUGCCUUCGCAAGGAGGAGGAAGGUGAGGAUGACGUCAAGUCAUCAUGGCCCUUACGCCUAGGGCUACACACGUGCUACAAUGGGAAGCACAAAGAGAUGCAAUAUUGUGAAAUGGAGCAAAUCUAUAAAACUUCUCUCAGUUCGGAUUGUAGUCUGCAACUCGACUACAUGAAGCUGGAAUCGCUAGUAAUCGUAAAUCAGCUAUGUUACGGUGAAUACGUUCCCGGGUCUUGUACUCACCGCCCGUCACACCAUGGGAGUUGUAUUCGCCUUAAGUCGGAAUGCCAAACUGGCUACCGCCCACGGCGG